Molecule: unclassified non-coding RNA, 148 nt
Organism: Pongo abelii (Sumatran orangutan)
Lineage: Eukaryota; Metazoa; Chordata; Mammalia; Primates; Hominidae
Rfam family: Metazoan signal recognition particle RNA
About the family: The signal recognition particle (SRP) is a universally conserved ribonucleoprotein. It is involved in the co-translational targeting of proteins to membranes.
Source: Ensembl
GCUGGGUGUGGUGGUGUGCACCUGUAAUCUCAGUUACUUGGGAGGCUGAGGCAGGAGAAUUGCUUGAACCCAGGAGGCAGAGGUUGCAGUGAGCCGAGAUCGAGCCACUGCACCCCAGCCUGGGUGACAGAGUGAGAUCCUGUCUCAA